Molecule: ribosomal RNA, 433 nt
Filed under: uncultured bacterium
Lineage: Bacteria
Description: partial 16S ribosomal RNA
Rfam family: Bacterial small subunit ribosomal RNA
Source: RNAcentral
AACGAACGCUGGCGGCAUGCCUAACACAUGCAAGUCGAACGAGACCUUCGGGUCUAGUGGCGCACGGGUGCGUAACGCGUGGGAACCUGCCCUUAGGUUCGGAAUAACUCCCCGAAAGGGGUGCUAAUACCGGAUAAUGUCUUCGGACCAAAGAUUUAUCGCCUUUGGAUGGGCCCGCGUUGGAUUAGCUAGUUGGUAGGGUAAAAGCCUACCAAGGCGACGAUCCAUAGCUGGUCUGAGAGGAUGAUCAGCCACACUGGGACUGAGACACGGCCCAGACUCCUACGGGAGGGAGGAGUGGGGAAUAUUGGACAAUGGGCGAAAGGCUGAUCCAGCAAUGCCGCGUGAGUGAUGAAGGCCUUAGGGUUGUAAAGCUCUUUUACCCGGGAUGAUAAUGACAGUACCGGGAGAAUAAGCACCGGCUAACUACGUG